RNAcentral lists this transfer RNA (71 nucleotides) under Loxodonta africana (African savanna elephant). It matches the Rfam family "tRNA". From Rfam's summary of the family: Transfer RNA (tRNA) molecules are approximately 80 nucleotides in length. Their secondary structure includes four short double-helical elements and three loops (D, anti-codon, and T loops). Further hydrogen bonds mediate the characteristic L-shaped molecular structure. tRNAs have two regions of fundamental functional importance: the anti-codon, which is responsible for specific mRNA codon recognition, and the 3' end, to which the tRNAs corresponding amino acid is attached (by aminoacyl-tRNA synthetases). tRNAs cope with the degeneracy of the genetic code in two manners: having more than one tRNA (with a specific anti-codon) for a particular amino acid; and 'wobble' base-pairing, i.e. permitting non-standard base-pairing at the 3rd anti-codon position. Lineage: Eukaryota; Metazoa; Chordata; Mammalia; Proboscidea; Elephantidae. The record is from Rfam by way of RNAcentral.
GCAGUGGUGGUUCAGUGGUCGAAUUCCUACCUUCCACGCGGGAGACCUGGGUUCUGCUCCCGGCCAGUGCA